This 382-nucleotide ribosomal RNA is filed under the name uncultured eukaryote. RNAcentral's name for it is "partial 18S ribosomal RNA". It matches the Rfam family "Eukaryotic small subunit ribosomal RNA", at positions 592 to 976 of the family's 1831-position model. The record is from RNAcentral.
UGUAAGCGUAUACCAAAGUUGUUGCAGUUAAAACGCUCGUAGUCGGAAUUUGGCAGUUCCGGAUGUGUGCACGUCGUGUGCGCACUUCGCGGGGAUUGCUUUUGUGGUCUUGCGUAGGAUGAGGCACUUUUAUUAGUGAACGUCCUCACGCAACCACUUUUUACUGUGAGAAAAUCAGAGUGCUCAAAGCAGGCAUUUGCCGUGAAUGUAUUAGCAUGGAAUAAUAGAAUAGGACUUGGUUCUAUUUUGUUGGUUUGUUGGGACUGAGUAAUGAUUAAGAGGGACAGUUGGGGGCAUUUGUAUUUCGGUGCUAGAGGUGAAAUUCUUAGAUUACCGAAAGACAAACUGUUGCGAAAGCGUCUGCCAAGGAUGUUUUCAUUGA